UAUUUGAUCCGUCGCUUGCAGGUCGACUUAUGCCUUACGACGUUCCUUUUAAGGAGGACUCGCCCAGACUGCCUUUUCCCAACUUCUACUACGCGUUGGAAGACGUUGCCGCAUCGUAUUCACCUGCUAUAACGUACUCCGUGCAUCGUUCGUCGGUCAUAAUCGGUGCAUCUCCAAGAAGCCUGUACAAUUCGUUGCUCACUUUAGCGGUGUAUGCCACCAUUUGCAAGCACCAGGGGUUGCCGUUUCGAUACUUUGGUAAGUCCUUACUUAGCUCUAGCUUAUUUUCUAAGUCUAAGUUAAUUAUAAAAUUACUAUGGAAAAGUUUGUUGGGUCCUAUUAAUCAAAGACAAAGUUAAAAACUAGUCAACAUGUUCGUUCAAUGGCAAAUUUCAAUAAUCUAUUUGAGAUUUAUUCAAAUCACAAGCUAGAUAUAGCUCUAUUAGUUUCUACCGUUUAUAGGAUAUGAUAAGUUUUAUAAAAGUUAAUUUAAGGAGCAUAUAUGAGGAAUUUUUAUAGAUAAGUUUAUGAUUAAUAUGAGGAAUUUUCAUAGAUAAUUUAUGGUUAAUUAUCUUAUCAACUCUCCAGCUUAGCAAAAGUUUUUUUUCCCUAAUCUUCGUCCGAAUAGCAAUUCUUGAAUCUUCCCUUUCAGGUAACAAAUACACAUGGGAGCAUUUUUUCGACGUGUCAGACAGCCGAUUGCUAGCAGAGCAACAGAUAUGGGCAGCAACGACGGAUAAGGCCAAGAACCAAGCAUUUAACUGCACAAACGGCGACGUUUUUAUGUGGAAGAGCUUAUGGAAACUGUUGUCAGAAAUCUUUGACGUUGAGUUUGUGCCGUUUGAUGAUGAGAAAAAUGAAAAAUUUGAUGUGGUUGAGAUGAUGAAGGAGAAAGGAGAAAUAUGGGAUGAGAUUGUUGAGAAACAUGGGCUGUAUAAGACCAAAUUGGAGGAGAUAACUUGUUUUGAGGCAAUGAAACUUGUCUUGCAUUUUGAGUUUCAGCAUGUCAGUAGCAUGAACAAGAGCAGAGAAUUUGGGUUCUUUGGGUUUGUUGAUACCAUGAAGAGUAUUAGAAUGUGGGUGGGGAAGUUACGAGAGAUGAAGAUCAUACCAUGAGAUUCAAGAACGUAAAUGUAGCUGGGCAACUGGGCUUGAAGUUCUGGUUCGGUCUUGUUUUGCCAACCCACAUUAGAGUAUUGGCCGAAACUCACUCAGUCUAGCCCACCAAUGGGUCAUAUCAAUAAGGUAAAUGAAGAUUAAACAAAAUUUGGCCGGAAACAAUGGCAUGACUAAGCAUAAUUAGAUUGGAUGUAAGUUCACGUGUAUAGCUGUGGUAGCCAUAUGUGACCUCUUUUAAUCUAAAUACCAAGACACAUAAAUAACCAGCUAUACAACUGUACAAGUCAACAUGUUUAUGUCUCUCAUUUAUUUCAUAUAUAUAUAUCGUUCUCAGUUGCGGCCGCCCUUAUUUUUUUAAAUGCGAAUAUGUUAAAUUGUGUAGUUUAAUAAAAUUAUUUUCGAAUAUACUAUAAAGUCGUGUGAUUUAAUAACAUUAAAAUCUUUAUAUAUAAAGUAGUGAAGGUAUCAUCACCUCAUUAAAGUGAGGAUAUUAAUAAAAAAAUAAAAAGUACAAAUUUCAAUACAUUAGAUAUUAUAUUUUUCUAUCUAUUAGUAUAUUGAAAGUGUUUUUUUUUGGGGGUAUUUUACUAGCAUCCUCACAUUAAAAAAAUGAGGAUAUCCUCACUAAAGAACGAUUAUAUAUUAGUAAAAAAUUAAAUGAACACACAAUUCAAUACAUUGGAGAUUAUAUUUUUUUUUAUAUGUUAGCGUAUUAAAAUCUAUAAUUUUUUUUUUUGUAUUUUACUAGCACCCUCAUAUUAACAAAGUGAGAAUAUCGGCACUAAAGAAUGAUAACGCACACACACACACACACACACACACAUUCUCUAGUAAAGGCAUACUCAUUUUAAUAAAGCGAAGAAACAAGAAAACACGGCUUCUAAUAUAUUAGAAUCUGUAUUUUUUUGUAUUUUUUGUGCAUCCUCACUUUAGCAAAAGUAAAGAUGCCCUUACUAGAGAAGGAUUUUCAAUCAAGAACUCUGAUCAUAUUAAAAUCAAGCAUAAGCUCAAAGAUUAAAAAAAAAACUACAUAUUUUAAAAUAUUAUAGGAAAAAAUAUAUUGUACUAAAGUCUUAUUUUUUUGUUAUUUGUCUUAUGUCUAAUUUUAAUAUAGUCAGAGAUUUCUGAUUGGAUUAUCAAAGACACAAUGAUGAUUUUAAAAAUAUUAAUGAAACAUUUCUCUUGAAUUUGUGAUUAUGUUUUGAUUUUGAUUUUUUUUUCAUUUCGGAACAUGUAAAUAUUCUACCCAAGUAACACAAAUUUAUUCUAAAAUUUUAACAUAGAGUAAUGAUAUGUAACCAACUCAAGUUAUCUCACUAACUUCUAUUUUUCAAUUUUAUCUUACUAUUUUUUAAAAUUACCCUUAUUAAGAUUAAAAAAUAUAAUUUUUAUUUUAUUUUAUUCUCUCUUUCUGUUCUCUCUAGCAUAACCAUCAUGCUCACCACUUCAUCUACAACGAGUUUCAUCAUCAUCAUCAAACCGCCACCACAUAUUUUCUUCACCAUCAAUACAUCACCUCCAUCAAUAAAUGAUGAGUUUUAAUGUUUAGAUUUUGUUAAAUUUUAUGAACAAAUGAUGGGUUUUUUUUUUGUUAUUGAUAAUAUUUUUUUUGAUUUUGCAUGAUAAUGUAGAAUUUUGUUUAAUUUUAAUUUGACAACUGAUUAAGAGUUAGUAUUUGAUUCAAAUCGUGAAUCAAUUUAAAAAAAUAAGAGAGAUGUAAAAGAUAGAGAUGAGAAGUUAAUGUAUUAAGAGUUUGAGAGAGAAGAAAAAUAUUAAAUUUUAAUUAAUUAAUUAUUUAUUUAUUUUUCACUAUAAGCAAUUCUAAAAUAAACAAUAUUAAUUUGAAAAUAAUGGUUAGUGAGAUAAGUUUCACCGCUCUUUAACAGAUUCUUUGCAUGUGACUAGUCCAUGGAAUUGGUCAUAUUUCAUGUGGGCCUUUUUGUCUACGUCAAACGUGAUCUUGACUCAAAUUUUCAAAAAUAGUCUAAUCUUAAUCUUUUUAUCCUUCUAGCAAGCGCACUUGUAAGGUUAUCUCCAUUAAUAAUACAUAACCGAUGUAUAUGUUAUUCAUUCUAUUAUUUUGAUUUAGUUAUUAUCUUUUUGAUAUUUUAAGUUGUUAUUGUCUCUUAUCUUAUUUGAAUUUAAUUAGAACUAGUAUUUGAACUCCACGUGCCCGUCGUGGGUGCCAAUUACUAGGCAACUAACUUAGUGAAAUAAAUUCUUGGGUUAAAAUGAUGAGGUAAUGGCCUAUUAAUUACUGCUUACGUUAAUAUAAUUAACAAAAUCUUGUUUAUAUUUGAACUUCUUAAAAUUAUUGGGUUAAAACAAAAAUUCUAAGAUAUAUUGGAACCACGCUUGCUGUCUGGGUAAAGAGAGAAUUCAACUUAAUUUUAUUCCCCUUACUUUUUGUAUGCAUAAAAUAAACUUGAAGAUACUUGAAUAUACCAUGAAAUUAAGGGAAAGUGGCCCAUCGCUCCGCAGAUUCUAAGACAUACCAUUUUUAGAAAUGCUAGAUUCUCUGGUCUUUAACAGAACUUGUGUAUUCAUUUUAUUAAUUAAAGAGAUAGGUGGUGUUAGAUAAAAAGAAUAAAAAAGGUGUGGUUAAGUUACAUAAUGUUUUAACUUACAAAAACUUAAAGAGUUGCAUCAGUUAAGUCAAGUGUAAUUUAGUUAUUAAAUAUUUUUUGAAUUAUUAGAUACAACUCUUAGAUUGUUAUAAUUAAUUACAACAUUAUGUAAUUUAACUAAGGUGCCAAAAAAAAUAAAAUAAAAUAAAUAAAUUAAUUUGUGGUUUUGUCUACUCGAUCGUUUGAAAAUAUCACAAAGACCCUGCAGUUUUGAAAUAAAUUAAAUGUAAACAGGUUAAUUAAAUACCACUUGUUAGAAAAAAAAACAAAGAGUUAUCCUGCAAGAAGAUAAGCAUAAAAAAGGAAAGGUGGCGAGUAAUGGAGUAAGGACCAUGCACGCAUUAUCUUUUUAGCUGCUUCGCAUUUAAUACGAAAUAAUAAUGGUAGUAUAUUAUUGAUUUGUAGAUCCCCUCUAUGGUUAGGUCAAAGGUCGUGACAUUUUUUCCCCCAGGCCGAGCUUUCUUCAACAUUAAUUUCCUCUCAUUUCUCUGAUAUCUCCACUGAGAAGCAGAAAUUACCAGCACAUUUAUAAUUUGUAUCAUGGAAAAGCGAGAUCAAAAUCCUAAAUCAGUUGCCCUAAUCAUUGGGGUGACAGGCAUUUCAGGCUUGAGCUUAGCAGAAGCUCUAAAGAACCCAACCACACCGGGCAGCCCCUGGAAAGUGUACGGCGCCGCCCGCCGGCCUCCGCCCGGAUGGUUCCCGACUGCUCUCGUCGAUCGUUAUAUAACCUUCGAUGCCCUGGACUCCGCUGACACUGCCCUAAAACUCUCUCUGAUUUCUCAAGAAAUCACUCAUCUUUUUUGGGUCCCUUUGCAGGUUCAGGAAAGCGAAGAAGUAAACAUAUUCAAGAACUCGACGAUGUUGAAGAAUGUGCUCUCCGUUCUUGUAAGUUCUAACAGCGGACGUUCUUGUCUCCGACAUGUGGCUUUGCUGACGGGGACGAAACACUACAUGGGUCCGAUAUUUGAUCCGUCGCUUGCAGGUCAACUUAUGCCUUACGAAGUUCCUUUUAAGGAGGACUCGCCCAGACUGCCUUUCCCCAACUUUUACUACGAAUUGGAAGACGUUGCCGCAUCGUAUUCACCGGCUAUAACGUACUCCGUGCAUCGUUCGUCGGUCAUAAUCGGUACAUCUCCAAGAAGCCUGUACAAUUCGCUGCUCACUUUAGCGGUGUAUGCCACCAUUUGCAAGUACCAGGGGUUGCCG
Molecule: long non-coding RNA, 4952 nt
Filed under: Citrus maxima (pomelo)
Lineage: Eukaryota; Viridiplantae; Streptophyta; Magnoliopsida; Sapindales; Rutaceae
Description: long non-coding RNA (CMAX_LNC002483)
Source: RNAcentral